This is a long non-coding RNA of Sarcophilus harrisii (Tasmanian devil), 2799 nucleotides long. RefSeq lists it as uncharacterized. Lineage: Eukaryota; Metazoa; Chordata; Mammalia; Dasyuromorphia; Dasyuridae. The transcript has 3 exons. The record is from RefSeq and is a predicted model, not a curated record.
UUAUUCCCAUUUUACAUAUGGAGAAACUGAAGCUGAGAAUGACCUCAUCAACAUGAAGGGGAGUGGACUAGAGGCACUCUAUAGCUCCUUCAAAUUCUAAAUUCUCUGCAUUAUUUUUUUUCUCUGCCUUCCAUCUUUGGAAAUUUGCCUCAUGGCCAAUCAUAUGCCAGAUUAAGACCACGUCCGGCUGUAGGGGGAGCCCUUAUCCAACAUCUCAAGGGCCAUGAUGCCGGCAGUCAUGAUACCGGAACCACAGGACUGAAUGAAGGGACCCCUUUCCAAGGAGGCGCCUUUGAAAACUCUUCUGUUGGGCCAUUUCAACUGUCAACUGAUCUUGAGUUCUGUUUACAUUAAGACAAUGAAGGAGGGGGUGCUUUGUGUUAAUUACACUGAUAAAACUUUCCUGACAGAAUGUCUCCUUGGUAAAUCCCAAGAAAAUAUUUGACAUCUCUCCUUGCAUCAAUGACGCUCUGCCAAGCAAAUAUUUCCUAAGGUGAACAGAGGGUUUUUGUUUUGUUUUGUUUUGUUUUACCUCUUUCUUCCCAUGAUCUUGGCUUUUAAAGGGAAUAAAUAAAAAUUGGAAGGCAAAGAUUUUUUUGGAUUGGGGAGUGCAAUAGGGGGUGCUAGGAGUUUUGCCUGGGGAAAUUUUUCAGCAUCUAAGUAACAGCAAUAUAUUUUGAAGAGAUAUAAGGUGUCAUUAAAUAAAAUACACUUACAACAGCUUAGGGAAUUCAAGGUGGGAGUAGAGGCAGGACAAUAUAGGUAAGGGAGGACAGUUGUAUUUCUGGACAAAAGAAUACUCAAGUUAGAACUGAAAAAUAAGGAGGGAGUACUUGGAGAGGGAGGGUUGUGAGUGGCUGCUGAUCUGGGCAGCAGAUAGUUUGUCUUCUAUAUCUUUCUUCUCUUUGUUCCCUUUUCUCAUACUUUUUCUUCUCUAUCUUUUUUCCUCCUCAUUUUCUUUGUGUGCUCUUUCCCCUGCUUUUGGAACAAUUCCCUGCCACUAUCUCAACUAAUAGGAUUCUCUCCUCUCAAAGCAGAAGUAAUAGGAAUUAACUCUUCCUAAAUUGUUAGUGUUCCCUCCAAAACUGAUUUGCAUUUUAAAAGAGAAGUUCUCAGAGGGAAGGAAUGAAUCCCUAGAACAACAAUGGAAUUUCGGUUUUGUGUGUAGGGAAGAUUUUUUCAGUGGAGAGACUUUCCUAGGCAGGUACCUCUCAAAUCAUUAUACAUAAGCAGCUGCCUAUUUUGCAUACUUAAUAGACUGGCUCUGUGCCUUCUACCUCUCUAUUCUCAUUUCUCCUGCCUUGUUUAAGCACCAUCACAAGUGAGGGCGUUAGCAGAAAAUGGUGGGGAUGUUGACAGUCCCAAAAGAGUUUCUAUCACUACUAGAUUGAUGGGAUAUAAUAUUUUAAUCUGAAUUUCAUAGUAAGUUUUGCUGGUUCAAAUUUAUUGAGUUCAUUUCCUAAUAUUUAAGUGACUAGUUUAUUUCUUAAUUAAAAAAAACCAACAAAAAAAAAAAAAGAAAAAAGAAAUGGAAAAAACCCCCCAAACCCCUCAACCCAAAUCAAAUCUUAAAAAUCUUAGCUAGCACAAAUCCCUCUUCUAAUAACCAACAUGAUGUUUAAGAACUUUGGAAACAAUAUAUUUCUCCCCUUCCUUUGACACUUAGGCUUGUCAAGUUGAAAAAAAUGACCCAGCUCUAGUUAUGGUUUUGAAGAAAUGAAGUCUUAGGGGGAAAAAUUCUCUUUAAGUAUUAGAAUAUAUAUUUAAAAGUAGCUUUUCAUUGCUGCCAAAAAUCCAGAUGACUUUGGGUUGAAAAAUAUGAAUCCCUAAAUGGUUUUAACUCAAGGUCAUGAUCAUAGGAAUGUUCUUAUGGCUUGACAAUAAAGAAAAAGGGAAAAUGGUGAUUAUCUUGUGAUUUUUUGUAAAUGCAGCUAAAACCAAAGUGAGAACAUUAAAAAAUGAUUGUAAUCUUUUGACUUGAUAUUGGAACCUUAGCUAGCCCAAACCUUAGUCCUCAUACCUACCUUUCCAGAAACAAAUGAUGAAUGCUGAAAAGGUGAGGUGCAUUGACAUAUUCUAUUAAAAUAGGACAUCCUGCCAAGUGAGUAGACACCAUUAGCUGUUGCUUUUCUUUCUUUCUUUUAAUUAUUGGAUAAUAAAAGAAGGGAAAGACUAGAAAUUCCCUCUCACAAUCAGAGGUACAUUUUCUUAUUGAUAAACAAAAGAAACAAAGCACACUCACUAAUUGGAAGAAAUUGUCAAUUGUGUCCUAUUCCAGCCUGCAGAGUGCCAUUGUUAAAUGAAAGAAUCUAGCUGACACUGGGGAAAAAACCCUUUUCCACAUUGUUGAAAUGCCUUUCCAUGUGGUAUUUAAGCAUUUUGGUAACAUGGUAGGAAUCUGACUGUCAAAGAACCUUAGAAAUAGCUUCUUCUUUUAGUGGGGAUUUUUUAAAAUAAUAAUUGUUAAGAUGGGAAAGAAUUGAACUAGGUUCUUAUAUUUAUAAAUACUUAAUAAGUAACACCAAGAAAAUCUCUUUAAUUAAAUUGAUAUCUUGAUAUCUUUCUUUAAUGGCUAGAUGAAAUUUGUCACUAGGCUGACUUAUUCUACAACUCUGUUAUCCUGGGAAGUGACUUUCCACUUCUUUUUUCCUAUUAGUGCUUUUACUCUUUCAUUUGUACAUCCAUUCACUCACAUUCAUUCAUUCAUUCACUUAUUUAUAACAUGUGGAAUGACUUUCUAAUGCAUGGUGCUCUAUUAGCAAUUAUAUUUCCUGUUCCUCUGCUAAAUGGUUUCUCUAU